UGAAAUCGCUGUGAAGAUGCAGUGUAUCCGCGGCUAGACGGAAAGACCCCGUGAACCUUUACUAUAGCUUUGCACUGGACUUUGAAUUUGCUUGUGUAGGAUAGGGGGGAGGCUUUGAAGCGUGGACGCCAGUCUGCGUGGAGCCAUCCUUGAAAUACCACCCUGGCAACUUUGAGGUUCUAACUCAGGUCCGUUAUCCGGA
This 202-nucleotide ribosomal RNA is filed under the name Pseudomonas putida. Its description in RNAcentral is "partial 23S ribosomal RNA". It matches the Rfam family "Bacterial large subunit ribosomal RNA", at positions 2043 to 2244 of the family's 2925-position model. Lineage: Bacteria; Pseudomonadati; Pseudomonadota; Gammaproteobacteria; Pseudomonadales; Pseudomonadaceae. The record is from RNAcentral.